CCAAUGACAUUACCGAGUUUACACUCCCAACCCCUGUGAACAUACCACUUGUUGCCUCGGCGGAUCAGCCCGCUCCCGGUAAAACGGGACGGCCCGCCAGAGGACCCCUAAACUCUGUUUCUAUAUGUAACUUCUGAGUAAAACCAUAAAUAAAUCAAAACUUUCAACAACGGAUCUCUUGGUUCUGGCAUCGAUGAAGAACGCAGCAAAAUGCGAUAAGUAAUGUGAAUUGCAGAAUUCAGUGAAUCAUCGAAUCUUUGAACGCACAUUGCGCCCGCCAGUAUUCUGGCGGGCAUGCCUGUUCGAGCGUCAUUUCAACCCUCAAGCACAGCUUGGUGUUGGGACUCGCGUUAAUUCGCGUUCCUCAAAUUGAUUGGCGGUCACGUCGAGCUUCCAUAGCGUAGUAGUAAAACCCUCGUUACUGGUAAUCGUCGCGGCCACGCCGUUAAACCCCAACUUCUGAAUGUUGACCUCGGAUCAGGUAGGAAUACCCGCUGAACUUAAGCAUAUCAUAAAAGCGGAGGAAAA
This 528-nucleotide ribosomal RNA is filed under the name Fusarium oxysporum f. sp. gladioli. Its description in RNAcentral is "eukaryotic LSU rRNA". The stretch from base 159 to 312 matches the Rfam family "5.8S ribosomal RNA". Lineage: Eukaryota; Fungi; Ascomycota; Sordariomycetes; Hypocreales; Nectriaceae. The record is from RNAcentral.